This is an RNA transcript of Otolemur garnettii (small-eared galago), 509 nucleotides long. It is a transcript of the gene named 40S ribosomal protein S11-like, with no coding region annotated. NCBI's taxonomy places the organism in Eukaryota, Metazoa, Chordata, Mammalia, Primates, Galagidae. The transcript has a single exon. The record is from RefSeq and is a predicted model, not a curated record.
UCUGCUUUCUUUUCUACCGGAGGCCGGGAAGAUGGCGGACAUUCAGACUGAGCGAGCCUACCAAAAGCAGCCGACCAUCAUUCAAAACAAGAAGAGAGUCCUGUUGGGAGAAACCGGCGAGGAGAAGCUCCCUCGGCACCACAAGAACAUCGGUGUGGGUUUCAAGACUGCCAAAGAGGCCAUUGAGGGCACCUACAUUGGCAAGUAAUGCCGGUUCACUAACGUCUCCGAGGGCGGAUCUAGUCUGGCGCGGUGACCAAGAUGAAGAUGCAGAGGACCACUGUCAUCCGCCAAGACAUCCGUCUCCAUUACACCCGCAAGUACAAUCGUUUUGAGAAGCGCGCUUAUCUGUGCACCUGUCCCCCUGCUUCAGGAAUGUCCAGAUCGGAGAUACUGUCACAGUGGGCGAAUGCCGGCCCCUGAGCAAGACGGUGCGCUUCAAAGUCACCAAAGCUGCUGGCACCAAGAAGCAGUUCCAGAAGUUCUGAGACUGGAUAUGUGCCCACGCC